CUGCCCCCUUUUAAUUCAGUGGGAGAAAAUGUUUGGAAUGUCAUUUGCGUAACUGUGCCCUCAAUUCAACAACAUGCCCAGGCAGGCGUGUAUUCACCAUUAUAUUUCCAACCUCCAGCAUAGAGCAUGGCAAGUACCAUGGAGUCUUUGUGAGGAACAAGACCAUAACUAGGAGGAACUAAGUUGAUGUACUCAAGGAAAGACAUGGCAACACUUGGAAAUAAAAUUCAGAAGGAAACAGGCAGUCUGCCUGUGCUGGGGAAACCUGUGAAGACAGUAGCUAGCAUAGGUAGAAUUCUGAAGAAGGAAAGAGAAGAUUUGGAAGUGUAACAUUGGUGAAAUAGCUAAAGACGAUUUUCAGAUAUUUGCUCUGUUGCCAAGAGUAGCCGCCCUUUGGUCUGAGAGUCCAUAUCUAUGUUGCACUUCAUGGGCUUGGAGCCAUGUCUGCAUUUCAUUCGGCUGUGUCACUGUGCUGAGGUGAACUCUGUGGAGGGAGGGAGUACAGCCAAUUUUGUUCAUGCUACAUAAAGUAUUGAUCUGAUGGGGAUUCUUCAGCAACGGAGGCACAAUAACCAAAGACAGACAGAAGCAAACAUUGGCAGUGUCCAUUUCAGCACAGCCCAAAGGG
Long non-coding RNA from Eptesicus fuscus (big brown bat), 628 nucleotides. RefSeq lists it as uncharacterized. The record is from RefSeq and is a predicted model, not a curated record. The transcript is spliced from 3 exons. Lineage: Eukaryota; Metazoa; Chordata; Mammalia; Chiroptera; Vespertilionidae.